CCUACGGGAGGCAGCAGUAAGGAAUAUUGGUCAAUGGAGGCAACUCUGAACCAGCCAUGCCGCGUGCAGGAAGACAGCCCUCUGGGUCGUAAACUGCUUUUAUUCGGGAAUAAACCUUAUUACGUGUAAUAAGCUGAAUGUACCGAAGGAAUAAGGAUCGGCUAACUCCGUGCCAGCAGCCGCGGUAAUACGGAGGAUCCAAGCGUUAUCCGGAUUUAUUGGGUUUAAAGGGUGCGUAGGCGGCUUAUUAAGUCAGGGGUGAAAGACGGUGGCUCAACCAUCGCAGUGCCUUUGAUACUGAUGAGCUUGAAUGAACUAGAGGUAGGCGGAAUGUGACAAGUAGCGGUGAAAUGCAUAGAUAUGUCACAGAACACCGAUUGCGAAGGCAGCUUACUAUGGUUUUAUUGACGCUGAGGCACGAAAGCGUGGGGAUCAAACAGGAUUAGAUACCCUGGUAGUCCACGCCCUAAACGAUGAAUACUCGCUGUUAGCGAUAUACAGUUAGCGGCUAAGCGAAAGCGUUAAGUAUUCCACCUGGGGAGUACGCCCGCAAGGGCGAAACGUCAAAGGAAUUGACGG
RNAcentral lists this ribosomal RNA (579 nucleotides) under uncultured bacterium. RNAcentral's name for it is "bacterial SSU rRNA". It matches the Rfam family "Bacterial small subunit ribosomal RNA", at positions 338 to 916 of the family's 1533-position model. The record is from RNAcentral.